RNAcentral lists this ribosomal RNA (47 nucleotides) under uncultured Russula. Its description in RNAcentral is "partial 28S ribosomal RNA". Lineage: Eukaryota; Fungi; Basidiomycota; Agaricomycetes; Russulales; Russulaceae. The record is from RNAcentral.
UGACCUCAAAUCGGGUGAGACUACCCGCUGAACUUAAGGCCCCUUAA